Electrophorus electricus (electric eel) is the source of this 542-nucleotide long non-coding RNA. RefSeq lists it as uncharacterized. NCBI's taxonomy places the organism in Eukaryota, Metazoa, Chordata, Actinopteri, Gymnotiformes, Gymnotidae. The record is from RefSeq and is a predicted model, not a curated record.
GGGGACUGGUGGACAGGGUUGGAAGGGAGUUGAAAGGGGACAUGGGAGAAGCGCAAGCUGCCUGGAUUCCCUUAUCUCUGAGGCGGCAUAAAGUGAACAUGCCAAACACCUUCAGACUGGGGCGGGAGCAGAGUGUGCCUUGUUAUCCCCCCUACCACCAUGUUUAAAAUGGGAUUUAAGACAGGGCGAAUGAGCGUCUGAGUACGUCCGUGCGUGCGUGCGUGCGUGCGAGCGUGCGGAAGCGUCUCAAAACGAACAAGAGAUAGACGGCAGUGGGCAACCCUCCAGGAUACCCAGAAUGUCGCACUUGUGAAAAAGGGGACAACAUCUGCUGCUGACAGGCUGUUGAUGGUUUGACAGCGCUGCUUUUGAACAUGUCUGGAUACCUCUGAGCAGAUGCGGACGCUGAAAUGUACUGUGGCUGCCUUCAGCACGGAAGAUGAAGAACGAAGCCCGGAUGAAAUUGCGCAGCGCAUCUCAGCAUAUGCAGAUUUGUUAUGUAGACCAUGGGAUUAAACAGGCAAUAAACGAAUUUCCGGUUA